This 483-nucleotide ribosomal RNA is filed under the name uncultured bacterium. RNAcentral describes it as "bacterial SSU rRNA". It matches the Rfam family "Bacterial small subunit ribosomal RNA", at positions 33 to 507 of the family's 1533-position model. The record is from RNAcentral.
GACGACGCUGGCGGCGUGGAUUAGGCAUGCAAGUCGAACGGUAUCAUCCUUCGGGGGUGAGAGAGUGGCGAACUGGUGAGUAACACGUAGGUUAUCUACCCUCAAGACGGGGACAACCCAGGGAAACUUGGGCUAAUACCGGAUGUGAGCAACUUUAGUGUUUGAAAGGUGGCGUAAGCUGUCGCUUGGGGAUGAGCCUGCGUCCUAUUAGUUAGUUGGUGAGGUAACGGCUCACCUAGGCAAUGAUAGGUAGGCGGCCUUAACGGGUGGUCGCCCACACUGGGAUUGAGAUACGGCCCAGACUCCUACGGGAGGCAGCAGUCGAGAAUAGUCUACAAUGGUCGGAAGACUGAUAGUGCGACGCCGCGUGAACGAUGAAUCCCUUCGGGGUGUAAAGUUCUUUUAUAUGUGAGCAGUGCUUCUUAUAUUAACAGUAUGGGGAGAGAGAUAUUAGCAUAUGAAUAAGCAACGGCUAACUCCGUG